This 253-nucleotide ribosomal RNA is filed under the name uncultured bacterium. Its description in RNAcentral is "partial 16S ribosomal RNA". It matches the Rfam family "Bacterial small subunit ribosomal RNA", at positions 524 to 776 of the family's 1533-position model. The record is from RNAcentral.
UACAGAGGUCUCAAGCGUUGUUCGGAUUCAUUGGGCGUAAAGGGUGCGUAGGUGGCGCCGUAAGUCAGGUGUGAAAUUUCGGAGCUUAACUCCGAAACUGCAUUUGAUACUGCGGUGCUUGAGGACUGGAGAGGAGACUGGAAUUCACGGUGUAGCAGUGAAAUGCGUAGAUAUCGUGAGGAAGGCCAGUGGCGAAGGCGGGUCUCUGGACAGUUCCUGACACUGAGGCACGAAGGCCAGGGGAGCAAACGGG